This is an RNA transcript of Lonchura striata (white-rumped munia), 3048 nucleotides long. It is a transcript of the gene named holocarboxylase synthetase, with no coding region annotated. NCBI's taxonomy places the organism in Eukaryota, Metazoa, Chordata, Aves, Passeriformes, Estrildidae. The record is from RefSeq and is a predicted model, not a curated record.
GCCCGCCAUGCUGAUCACGCUGUGCUACCUGUACCUGUGGGCGCGCUGGGGGCCGCGCUCGGCCGCGCUCGUCCGCAGCACCGUGCGGAGGCUGCACCGCUCCCGCUGCUCCUUCACCUUCUGCGCCCGGCAGCCGCACCCCGAGGAGCGCGUCUGCCUCCGUGUCGGCGGCAAGGUGUUCUGCACCGGCGAGGCGCAGUUCCUUGAUGACUUAAACAGGUGGAGUGUGCUUCUCAUUUCUCCCUUUAUUCACCCCGAGAAGCUGCUGCCAGCAGAGCACAUUGCUUUUGUGACAGAAAGCAUUUCUGCUCAGACAGAGAACUUGCAGAAAGGACCUGACUCGUCAAAGGAGAUUGUGAAGUGGUCAGACUUUUGUUCACCCUUGGCCUAUAAACCUGGUGAACCUUUUAAGUUAAUUGCUGAAGCCAGUGUAGAUAAUUUCAGUAGCCUUGGAAUAGCCUUCCUGGAAGACAGGCUGCAGAUGGAGAAUGGGAUGGUGCCACACAGGAUUGUUUCUGUGCAUUUAGAGGAAUCUGCUCUGAAGGAGUUGGCACAGGAGGCACCAUCGGUGAAAGAGAAAAGCACAGACAUGGAUGCAGUAACUCCUGCUGGGAAAUCAGCACUAGGACGAGCUGAGGGGGACAAAUCUGAGCUGGAAGAAGAAAGGGAGCACGAGGAGACAGGAGCUGGGGACCACCAGAGCUUGCACGUUUUCAGCUGCCACGAGUGCCAGCAGCUGGAGGACAUCACCAUUGAGUCGGUGAAAUCCGCCUCUGCAGAAAACAUUCCAGAGCUUCCCGAGGAUUGCAGCAGCAGCAGGGAGGAGAAGGAGCACGAGUGUCUGCAAAAAGGAAUCAAAAGAAUAAACCUGGCUGGGAAACCCCCCAAUAUCUUGAUUUACCUGGGCUCUGAGGCUGCCGAAGGGAGGUUUGAGCAGGUGAGAGCAGUGCUCGGGGGGUGCAUCGAUGCCGAGAGUUACACCGUGUACCAGCUGCACCAGGAGCAAGUGCUCAGAGACCCCUGGGCUGACAACUCCCUGCUGCUGCUCAUUGCCACAGAGGAGCCCAUUCCUGAGGACAUCCACAGGCAAUUCAUGACAUUUCUGGCCAAAGGGGGGAAGAUUCUCGCGUUUUCUUCGUCCUUCACGUUCGGGGGCGUGCAGAUCAAGCACAAAAACAAACUGAGGAGGGUUGUGCACGAGCUGGUGGUGUCCAAAAAGGACAGCACUGAGGUGAAGCUGAGCCUGCUGGUCAGUGGCUGUGUUUUUGAGGAAGGCAUGAAGGGAGAUGGCAGCAGAGUGAAGGUGUUGAGUCGGUUGAAUAAUGCUGCUAAAGACACGGUGAUGGUGCACCUGACUCACGGCAGCAGUGGAGGAGAAGCCAUCCUUUCCCAGGCCCAUUUGGAGCUGGACAUCAAUUCCAUGGAUGUGCAAACUGAAGAGGAUUUUAAUUUGCUCAAAAUGAGCAAUUCCAAGAGAUAUGAAGUUCUCAGGGAGAUCCUGACCUGCCUUGGGCUGAGCUGUGAAUUGAGUGCAAUUCCUGAAUUAACACCCAUUUAUCUGCUCUCUCCAGAUGAGGAAAUCCACCUUGCUUUCCUGAAAUGGCUGGAGGGGAACGUGGAUGCUGAGGGACUGAGGGCAUCCAGCAAGGUGUCCCUGAAGUUUGUUUCGUCCCCCGAGUCCAAGGUGGAGGUGACUCCGUCCCUGGUGCCGGUGAUCACGGAGAUGGGGAGGUUCUCCUCAGAGCAUUUCAGCCUCCAGACCUAUCAGCAGCAUCUCCAGACCAAGAAGCUGGGCAAGAUCCUUCUUUUCACUGAGGUGACCAUGACAACCAUGAAUCUUCUGGAUGGGUUAAUGUUCGACUUGCCUGAGGAGAUGGGUUUAAUAGCAGUGGCUGUUCGACAAACACAAGGGAAAGGUCGUGGUGGGAACGUUUGGCUCAGCCCCGUGGGCUGUGCCCUGUGCACUCUGCACAUCUCCAUCCCUCUACAUUCCAACCUGGGCCAGAGAAUUCCCUUUAUCCAGCACCUGGUGUCCUUGGCAGUGGUAGAGGCAGUCAGAUCCAUACCAGGAUAUGAGGACAUUGAGCUUCGAGUCAAGUGGCCAAAUGAUAUUUACUACAGUGAUCUCAUGAAGAUUGGUGGAGUUCUGGUAAACUCAACACUCAUUGAAACAACAUUUCAUAUUCUCAUUGGCUUUGGGUUUAAUGUGAAUAACAGCAACCCCACCAUCUGCAUCAACGACCUCAUUGCAAAGUUUAACAGGGAAGAGGGGAUGGAGCUGCAGCCUCUGAGUGCAGAUUGUCUCAUCGCAAGGACGGUGACGGUGCUGGAGAGGCUCAUCGAGGUUUUUCAGGAGAAGGGGCCCAAUGGAAUCCUUCCCCAGUACUACAAGUAUUGGGUACACAGCGGGAAGCAGGUGCGGCUCCGUGGCGAGGAGGGGCCCCUGGCCUGGAUCGUUGGCAUUGAUGACUACGGAUACCUGCAGGUGCACGAGGAGGGCCGGGGCGUGGAGUCUGUGCACCCUGAUGGCAACUCCUUCGACAUGCUGAGGAACCUCAUCGUCCCCAAGCACUGACAGGGACUCUUUGGCACUGGCACUGGCACUGGCACCUCGACCUGUUCAAGCUGGGAAAAAGUGGAAGAAGCUUCAAAACCAGAUCCUGAAGCAGAAACAUCUGAUUUGCAGGCAGUCGUAUCUGCUACGUGCUUCUUCAGAGCUUUGAUGGCUUGGCACCAUCAUCCUCCAAUCUCUGAUCUCUCCAAGAGGAGCUAUUUUUCCAUGGAGAAAAAUGUCUCUGGCCCACGGCGUUUUUGGCAGCUGCUGCCAAAUGUGGAUGUGAUGUGGAAUAGCCCUCGCAUCCAAGCCGGCUGCCAGAUGUCAGAUUUGGCUUUGCCUUCUGGAUCGAAGCUGAUGAUGCUAAGCAGAUCCUCCCCGCUUUGAAGCUCCCUGCCUGUCAGUUCUCCAGUGGGCCACUGGAAAAAAGCAGCACUUGACAACCUAAGGGAGAUCAGAUCCAAAAAAUAAAAGGGAAGGAAAAAAAAAAAGUC